CACGUAGGGCGCAAGCGUUGUCCGGAAUUAUUGGGCGUAAAGAGCUCGUAGGCGGUCUGUUGCGUCCGCUGUGAAAACCCGGGGCUUAACCCUGGGCUGGCAGUGGAUACGGACAGACUAGAGGUAGGUAGGGGAGAAUGGAAUUCCCGGUGUAGCGGUGAAAUGCGCAGAUAUCGGGAGGAACACCAAUUGCGAAGGCAGCUCGCUGGGACGUUACUGACGCUGAGACGCGAAAGCGUGGGGAGCAAACAGG
This 253-nucleotide ribosomal RNA is filed under the name uncultured bacterium. RNAcentral describes it as "partial 16S ribosomal RNA". It matches the Rfam family "Bacterial small subunit ribosomal RNA", at positions 524 to 776 of the family's 1533-position model. The record is from RNAcentral.